UUCCACCUCUGUUCUCUCCUCUCCUUCGUCCUCCAAAUCCUCCACCAGCUCCUCCACCUCCAGGGGCUCCACGGCUCAGGCCCCUAAACCAGAGGGACAAGUUUUGGGAAAGACCGACACCCCCAUCCAGAGAUGGUUCACACUGAAGAAAGAGAAGACUUUCCUCAAGGAUGGACAGAAUGUGGCUGCCAAAGGAAAAAAGACAAGCAAAAUAUUCAAGACAAACAAAGUGUCUCCCCUUAGCGCAGAACGUCCAGACCUUGGUGAGUCCUCCAUUGCCGGAGGAGAGGAGAAGAAGAAGAAGUCCAUCAAAGCUUUCUUCCG
This is a long non-coding RNA of Hypomesus transpacificus, 324 nucleotides long. RefSeq lists it as uncharacterized. The record is from RefSeq and is a predicted model, not a curated record. NCBI's taxonomy places the organism in Eukaryota, Metazoa, Chordata, Actinopteri, Osmeriformes, Osmeridae. The transcript has 3 exons.